AUACGGAAGGCAGUAGUGGGGAAUUUUGGACAAUGGGCGCAAGCCUGAUCCAGCAAUGCCGCGUGAGUGAAGAAGGCCUUCGGGUUGUAAAGCUCUUUUGUCAGGGAAGAAACGGCCUCAGCUAAUAUCUGGGGCUAAUGACGGUACCUGAAGAAUAAGCACCGGCUAACUACGUGCCAGCAGCCGCGGUAAUACGUAGGGUGCAAGCGUUAAUCGGAAUUACUGGGCGUAAAGCGUGCGCAGGCGGUUUUGUAAGUCUGUCGUGAAAGCCCCGGGCUCAACCUGGGAAUUGCGAUGGAGACUGCAAGGCUUGAAUCUGGCAGAGGGGGGUAGAAUUCCACGUGUAGCAGUGAAAUGCGUAGAGAUGUGGAGGAACACCGAUGGCGAAGGCAGCCCCCUGGGCCAAGAUUGACGCUCAUGCACGAAAGCGUGGGGAGCAAACAGGAUUAGAUACCCCAGUAGUCG
This 465-nucleotide ribosomal RNA is filed under the name uncultured bacterium. RNAcentral describes it as "bacterial SSU rRNA". It matches the Rfam family "Bacterial small subunit ribosomal RNA", at positions 339 to 796 of the family's 1533-position model. The record is from RNAcentral.